This 490-nucleotide ribosomal RNA is filed under the name uncultured bacterium. Its description in RNAcentral is "partial 16S ribosomal RNA". It matches the Rfam family "Bacterial small subunit ribosomal RNA", at positions 30 to 507 of the family's 1533-position model. The record is from RNAcentral.
AUUGAACGCUGGCGGCAUGCCUUACACAUGCAAGUCGAACGGCAGCAUGAUCUAGCUUGCUAGAUUGAUGGCGAGUGGCGAACGGGUGAGUAAUACAUCGGAACGUGCCCUGUAGUGGGGGAUAACUAGUCGAAAGAUUAGCUAAUACCGCAUACGACCUGAGGGUGAAAGUGGGGGACCGCAAGGCCUCAUGCUAUAGGAGCGGCCGAUGUCUGAUUAGCUAGUUGGUGGGGUAAAGGCUCACCAAGGCGACGAUCAGUAGCUGGUCUGAGAGGACGAUCAGCCACACUGGGACUGAGACACGGCCCAGACUCCUACGGGAGGCAGCAGUGGGGAAUUUUGGACAAUGGGCGAAAGCCUGAUCCAGCAAUGCCGCGUGUGUGAAGAAGGCCUUCGGGUUGUAAAGCACUUUUGUCCGGAAAGAAAUGGCUCUGGUUAAUACCUGGGGUCGAUGACGGUACCGGAAGAAUAAGGACCGGCUAACUACGUG